Long non-coding RNA from Plectropomus leopardus (leopard coralgrouper), 536 nucleotides. RefSeq lists it as uncharacterized. The record is from RefSeq and is a predicted model, not a curated record. NCBI's taxonomy places the organism in Eukaryota, Metazoa, Chordata, Actinopteri, Perciformes, Serranidae.
CAGGCUUGUCUUUGGUUUCUCAGCCUGCCUGCAACCUUAUGCUCGUAAUCUGAGACCCACCUACCUGCUUUAGUCCCUUUGAUUUCGUCUGGCUGCCUUCCAGUAAGUCUGCAGUCUGUCGUGGCUGCCUCUUCCCAGAAGGCCACUGCAGCUCACAGCUUGUUACCGUGUCAACUCACUGACCACCCACGACUCUGUCUGCAUGUCCUGGGCUGGCCCCCGAGGCUCAUGAGUAAUCCUUCAUCCACUGUCUAACAGGCUGCAGCGGGCUGAUAGCGGGCCUUCACUCAGAGAGGACAGAGCUGUGAUGUUUGUAUCAGCAGACAGACGACUGGAUGAACUUCCAACUGUGUCUCUGAAGCCUAGCCAACCCUCCUCCUCCUCCACCUCCUCCUCCUCACUACUCUGCCCUCUCACCUCCACAUCCCUUCCUCUGUCAGCCCUUCUCUUUGUCUCAUUUUGUCUUCUUGUCUCACUGGUUCCUCUCUGCUCUUAUAUAAACAGUUGUCACUCCACAGCUCUCCUUUAUUCCUCUA